Molecule: ribosomal RNA, 2777 nt
Filed under: Rhodomicrobium vannielii
Lineage: Bacteria; Pseudomonadati; Pseudomonadota; Alphaproteobacteria; Hyphomicrobiales; Hyphomicrobiaceae
Description: bacterial LSU rRNA
Rfam family: Bacterial large subunit ribosomal RNA
Source: RNAcentral
UUAAGGGCAUUUGGUGGAUGCCUUGGUGGCAAGAGGCGAUGAAGGACGUGGUACGCUGCGAUAAGCCGUGGGGAGGUGCGAACAACCUUUGAUCCGCGGAUUUCCGAAUGGGGAAACCCACCUCUGAAGCCAGUAUAUCGAGGGCAGGCGCAAGCCUGGCUUCGCGCUACUGGCUUUCUGAGAGGUAUCAUUCACUGAAUCCAUAGGUGAAUGAGGCGAACCCAGGGAACUGAAAUAUCUCAGUACCUGGAGGAAAGGACAUCAACCGAGACUCCGCUAGUAGUGACGAGCGAACGCGGACCAGGCCAGUGCUUUAGCUGCGACAACCGGAACCUUCUGGAAAGUAGGGCCAUAGCGGGUGAUAGCCCCGUACGGGUAAUGCAAAGCUAAAGCCUCGAGUAGGGCGGGACACGUGAAAUCCUGUCUGAACAUGGGGGGACCACCCUCCAAGCCUAAGUACUCCUUGCCAACCGAUAGCGAACAAGUACCGUGAGGGAAAGGUGAAAAGCACCCCUACAAGGGGAGUGAAAUAGUACCUGAAACCGAAUGCCUACAAACAGCCGGAGCGAAAGUGACGGCGUACCUUUUGUAUAAUGGGUCAGCGACUUAGUCUGUCGAGCAAGCUUAAGGCGAUAGCUGUAGGCGAAGCGAAAGCGAGUCUGAACAGGGCGUUCAGUUCGACGGAUUAGACCCGAAACCGGGUGAUCUAUGCAUGAGCAGGUUGAAGGCCGAGUAACACCGGCUGGAGGACCGAACCCAUAAAUGUUGAAAAAUUUUGGGAUGACUUGUGCAUAGGGGUGAAAGGCCAAUCAAACUCGGAAAUAGCUGGUUCUCCGCGAAAUCUAUUGAGGUAGAGCGUCGGAUCUAUGCUCCCGGGGGUAGAGCACUGGAUGGGCUAGGGGUCCUCACCGGAUUACCAAACCUAACCAAACUCCGAAUACCGGGAUGUCUUAUCCGGCAGACACACUGCGGGUGCUAACGUUCGUAGUGGAAAGGGAAACAACCCUGACCGCCAGCUAAGGUCCCAAAGUCAUGGCUAAGUGGGAAAGGAUGUGAGAACCCCAAAACAACCAGGAGGUUGGCUUAGAAGCAGCCAUCCUUUAAAGAAAGCGUAACAGCUCACUGGUCUAAAUAAGGGUUCUUGCGCCGAAAAUGUAACGGGGCUGAAGCCAUGCACCGAAGCUGCGGGUGUGCAACUUGUUGCACGCGGUAGCGGAGCGUUCCGUAAGCCUGCGAAGGUGUGCCGUGAGGUGCGCUGGAGGUAUCGGAAGCGCGAAUGCUGACAUGAGUAACGACAAAGAGUGUGAGAAACACUCUCGCCGAAAGUCCAAGGGUUCCUGCGUAAAGCUAAUCUGCGCAGGGUUAGCCGGCCCCUAAGUCGAGGGCGAAAGCCGUAGACGAUGGGAACCAUGUUAAUAUUCAUGGGCCAGGGGAUGGUGACGGAUCUCAAAAGUUGUCGGUCCUUAUCGGAUUGAACCGGCCGCGAAGAGGUUCCAGGAAAUAGCCCCCCAUCAGACCGUACCCUAAACCGACACAGGUGGACAGGUAGAGCAUACCAAGGCGCUUGAGAGAACUAUGUUGAAGGAACUCGGCAAAUUGCUCCCGUAAGUUCGCGAGAAGGGAGACCUCCUUAUGCGCAAGCAUCUGGAGGUGGCACAGACCAGGGGGUGGCGACUGUUUAUCAAAAACACAGGGCUCUGCGAAGCCGCAAGGCGACGUAUAGGGUCUGACGCCUGCCCGGUGCCGGAAGGUUAAGUGGAGGGGUGCAAGCUCCGAAAUGAAGCCCCGGUAAACGGCGGCCGUAACUAUAACGGUCCUAAGGUAGCGAAAUUCCUUGUCGGGUAAGUUCCGACCUGCACGAAUGGCGUAACGACUUCCCCGCUGUCUCCAACAUAGACUCAGUGAAAUUGAAUUCCCCGUGAAGAUGCGGGGUUCCUGCGGUUAGACGGAAAGACCCCGUGCACCUUUACUAUAGCUUCGCAUUGGCAUUCGUGACUGCAUGUGUAGGAUAGGUGGGAGACUAUGAAGCGCCGGCGCCAGCUGGCGUGGAGUCACCCUUGAAAUACCACCCUUAUAGUUAUGGAUGUCUAACUGCGGCCCGUUAUCCGGGUCCAGGACCGUGCGUGGUGGGUAGUUUGACUGGGGCGGUCGCCUCCCAAAGAGUAACGGAGGCGCGCGAAGGUUGGCUCAAGCUGGUCGGAAAUCAGCUGUCGAGUGCAAAGGCAUAAGCCAGCCUGACUGCGAGACAGACACGUCGAGCAGAGACGAAAGUCGGCCUUAGUGAUCCGGUGGUCCCGCGUGGAAGGGCCAUCGCUCAACGGAUAAAAGGUACGCCGGGGAUAACAGGCUGAUGACGCCCAAGAGUCCAUAUCGACGGCGUUGUUUGGCACCUCGAUGUCGGCUCAUCGCAUCCUGGGGCUGGAGCAGGUCCCAAGGGUUUGGCUGUUCGCCAAUUAAAGCGGUACGUGAGCUGGGUUCAGAACGUCGUGAGACAGUUCGGUCCCUAUCUGCCGUGGGUGUAGGAGAAUUGAGAGGAGCUGUCCUUAGUACGAGAGGACCGGGAUGGACGUACCUCUGGUGGAUCUGUUGUCGCGCCAGCGGCAGUGCAGAGUAGCUAAGUACGGAAGGGAUAACCGCUGAAAGCAUCUAAGCGGGAAGCCCACCUCAAAACAAGUUCUCCCUUGAGAGCCGUGGAAGACCACCACGUUGAUAGGCUGGGUGUGGAAGUGCGGUAACGCAUGAAGCUAACCAGUACUAAUAGCUCGAUCGGCUUGAUU